AGUACGGCCGCAAGGUUAAAACUCAAAUGAAUUGACGGGGGCCCGCACAAGCGGUGGAGCAUGUGGUUUAAUUCGACGCAACGCGAAGAACCUUACCUGGCCUUGACAUGCAGAGAACUUUCCAGAGAUGGAUUGGUGCCUUCGGGAACUCUGACACAGGUGCUGCAUGGCCGUCGUCAGCUCGUGUCGUGAGAUGUUGGGUUAAGUCCCGUAACGAGCGCAACCCCUAUCCCUAGUUGCUAGCAGUUCGGCUGAGAACUCUAGGGAGACUGCCGGUGACAAACCGGAGGAAGGUGGGGAUGACGUCAGGUCAUCAUGGCCCUUACGGCCAGGGCUACACACGUGCUACAAUGGUGCGCACAGAGGGCUGCAAACCCGCGAGGGGGAGCCAAUCUCACAAAACGCAUCGUAGUCCGGAUCGCAGUCUGCAACUCGACUGCGUGAAGUCGGAAUCGCUAGUAAUCGUGAAUCAGAAUGUCACGGUGAAUACGUUCCCGGGCCUUGUACACACCGCCCGUCACACCAUGGGAGUGGAUUGCACCAGAAGUGGUUAGUCUAACCUUCGGGAGGACGAUCACCACGGUGUGGUUCAUGACUGGGGUGAAGUCG
Molecule: ribosomal RNA, 609 nt
Filed under: uncultured bacterium
Lineage: Bacteria
Description: bacterial SSU rRNA
Rfam family: Bacterial small subunit ribosomal RNA
Source: RNAcentral